This 315-nucleotide ribosomal RNA is filed under the name uncultured bacterium. Its description in RNAcentral is "bacterial SSU rRNA". It matches the Rfam family "Bacterial small subunit ribosomal RNA", at positions 30 to 327 of the family's 1533-position model. The record is from RNAcentral.
AGCGAACGCUGGCGGCGUGCUUAACACAUGCAAGUCGCGCGGGAAAGGGACUUUCGGGUCCUGAGUAGAGCGGCGAACGGGUGCGUAAGACGCGGGUGACCUAUCCUUGAGGCGGGGAUAACCCUUCGAAAGAGGGGCUAAUACCGGAUGAGCCCACAGACGGAAACGUGAGGGGGCAAAGGAUGCACUGUACUCAGUGCAUGUCUUCAGGGAGGGGCCCGUGGCCUAUCAGCUAGNGGUGUGGUAACGGCGCACCAAGGCGAAGACGGGUAGCUGGUCUGAGAGGAUGGCCAGCCACACGGGGGACUGAGACAC